GCGGAAAGCGCGCGCCAGCUGCAUGCAGGGAAACAGUUCUCAUUUUGUGUGACUACAUGUCCAGCCUCGGGCCAGCUCGAGAUGGCCACAUUGCCUGGUUGAAGAUGGCUGAGUGUAAACCAGAAUACAGGUCAGCUGGGGCACCUACUCUGGAGGCUGAGGCAGGAGAAUUGCUUGAACUCAGGAGGUGGAGGUUGCAGUGAGCUGAGAUCAUGCCACUACAUUCUAGCUUGGGUGACAGAGCAAGACUCUGUCUCAAAAAAGAAAAAAAUUAAUUUACCUGACAACAUGUAGGUUUGAAAGAUUAAAGCCAGUUGGGAGGGCUAUACAGGCCAGGGAUCUAUUCAUGGUUUCUGAAGUGGGAUCCCUUUUUAAAAACAUCUUUUCAUGACGAUGACUAACACUACAGAAGCUACACUAUCACCGACAGUAAUCCUAAACCAAGUCCUUCGACGCAGUUCAUUAGCUUUACUCUUUUGACUGUGAUUAUGUAAGAUGUAGUUGACUUCAAGAAUGGCCACUACCGAAAUGUAUCCUGUACAGCAAGAUUUUCUUUAGGUUUCCUUUAGAUACCUUUUAUUUCUAGCAUUAACUUUGGAGGAACUUUUACUCCCCUAGGAGUGCAGCCAAGUUGACCUUUUCAACCCUGAAUCCUAUUAUUUAUGGAAUCGGUGAUUCUAUUCAUUAAGUCACAGUAGGUCUGGCUUCACACUAAUUUUAGAAGCUCUUUCCUCUUGUUACCAGGCAAGACAACAAAUGGCCUGGUUUGCCUUUUGGGAGGUAAGAAACCAAAAGUACU
Non-coding RNA from Callithrix jacchus (white-tufted-ear marmoset), 799 nucleotides. The record is from RefSeq and is a predicted model, not a curated record. NCBI's taxonomy places the organism in Eukaryota, Metazoa, Chordata, Mammalia, Primates, Cebidae.